Molecule: ribosomal RNA, 253 nt
Filed under: uncultured bacterium
Lineage: Bacteria
Description: partial 16S ribosomal RNA
Rfam family: Bacterial small subunit ribosomal RNA
Source: RNAcentral
GACGAGCCACACAAACGUUAUUCGGAAUCACUGGGCUUAAAGGGUGCGUAGGCGGCGCGGAAAGUGGGGUGUGAAAGCCCUCGGCUCAACCGAGGAAUUGCGCUCCAAACUACCGUGCUUGAGUGAGACAGAGGUAAGCGGAACUUCGGGUGGAACGGUGAAAUGUGUUGAUAUCCGAAGAAACACCGGUGGCGAAAGCGGCUUACUGGGUCUCAACUGACGCUGAUGCACGAAAGCCAGGGUAGCAAACGGG